Molecule: ribosomal RNA, 447 nt
Filed under: uncultured organism
Description: partial 16S ribosomal RNA
Rfam family: Bacterial small subunit ribosomal RNA
Source: RNAcentral
UACACUCCUGCGGGAGGCAGCAGUGGGGAAUAUUGGACAAUGGGCGCAAGCCUGAUCCAGCCAUGCCGCGUGAGUGAUGAAGGCCCUAGGGUUGUAAAGCUCUUUCACCGGUGAAGAUAAUGACGGAAACCGGAGAAGAAGCCCCGGCUAACUUCGUGCCAGCAGCCGCGGUAAUACGAAGGGGGCUAGCGUUGUUCGGAUUUACUGGGCGUAAAGCGCACGUAGGCGGACUAUUAAGUCAGGGGUGAAAUCCCGGGGCUCAACCCCGGAACUGCCUUUGAUACUGGUAGUCUUGAGUUCGAGAGAGGUGAGUGGAAUUCCGAGUGUAGAGGUGAAAUUCGUAGAUAUUCGGAGGAACACCAGUGGCGAAGGCGGCUCACUGGCUCGAUACUGACGCUGAGGUGCGAAAGCGUGGGGAGCAAACAGGAUUAGAUACCCGAGUAGUCC